This 275-nucleotide unclassified non-coding RNA is filed under the name Hevea brasiliensis (rubber tree). The record is from RNAcentral. Lineage: Eukaryota; Viridiplantae; Streptophyta; Magnoliopsida; Malpighiales; Euphorbiaceae.
AACAACAACAAAUGGGGAUCGGUUCUGAGGAGGCGAUCCGGCAGCUCCGAGCUUUGAUGGAUCAGGUUGAGGAGCGAUUGAAGUGCACUUUUCAGAAUGUUCAUCAAGGCUAUCUAACAGAAACUUUGGAGCGAUUUCUGAAGGCGCGGGAAUGGAACGUUAGCAAAGCCCACAAAAUGUUGGUAGAUUGUUUAAACUGGCGAGUAGACAAUGAAAUCGACAUGAUGCUAACAAAACCUAUAGUUCCUGUCGAUGUUUACAGAGCGGUUCGUGAU